CCUACGUGUGGCAGCAGUGGGGAAUAUUGCACAAUGGGGGGAACCCUGAUGCAGCAACGCCGCGUGGGUGAAGAAGUACUUCGGUAUGUAAAGCCCUGUCAGCAGGGAAGAAAAUGACGGUACCUGACCAAGAAGCCCCGGCUAACUACGUGCCCGCAGCCGCGGUAAUACGUAGGGGGCAAGCGUUAUCCGGAUUUACUGGGUGUAAAGGGAGCGUAGACGGCAAGGCAAGUCUGGAGUGAAAGCCCGUGGCUCAACCACGGGACUGCUUUGGAAACUGGGUUGCUGGAGUGCAGGAGGGGUAAGCGGAAUGCCUAGUGUAGCGGUGAAAUGCGUAGAUAUUAGGAGGAACACCGGUGGCGAAGGCGGCAUACUGGACUGUAACUGACGUUGAGGCUCGAAGGCGUGGGGAGCAAACAGGAUUAGAUACCCUUGUAGUC
RNAcentral lists this ribosomal RNA (440 nucleotides) under uncultured bacterium. Its description in RNAcentral is "partial 16S ribosomal RNA". It matches the Rfam family "Bacterial small subunit ribosomal RNA", at positions 338 to 795 of the family's 1533-position model. The record is from RNAcentral.